CCUACGGGUGGCAGCAGUCGAGAAUCAUUCACAAUGGGGGAAACCCUGAUGGUGCGACGCCGCGUGGGGGAAUGAAGGUCUUCGGAUUGUAAACCCCUGUCAUGUGGGAGCAAAUUAAAAAGAUAGUACCACACGAGGAAGAGACGGCUAACUCUGUGCCAGCAGCCGCGGUAAUACAAAGGUCUCAAGCGUUGUUCGGAAUCACUGGGCGUAAAGCGUGCGUAGGCUGUUUCGUAAGUCGUGUGUGAAAGGCGCGGGCUCAACCCGCGGACGGCACAUGAUACUGCGAGACUAGAGUAAUGGAGGGGGAACCGGAAUUCUCGGUGUAGCAGUGAAAUGCGUAGAUAUCGAGAGGAACACUCGUGGCGAAGGCGGGUUCCUGGACAUUAACUGACGCUGAGGCACGAAGGCCAGGGGAGCGAAAGGGAUUAGAUACCCCAGUAGUC
Molecule: ribosomal RNA, 446 nt
Filed under: uncultured bacterium
Lineage: Bacteria
Description: partial 16S ribosomal RNA
Rfam family: Bacterial small subunit ribosomal RNA
Source: RNAcentral